GGUAUAGCUCAGCUGGUAGAGCACCUGGUUGUGGUCCAGGAUGUCGCGGGUUCAAGUCCCGUUAC
Molecule: transfer RNA, 65 nt
Filed under: uncultured Arachnia sp.
Lineage: Bacteria; Bacillati; Actinomycetota; Actinomycetes; Propionibacteriales; Propionibacteriaceae
Rfam family: tRNA
About the family: Transfer RNA (tRNA) molecules are approximately 80 nucleotides in length. Their secondary structure includes four short double-helical elements and three loops (D, anti-codon, and T loops). Further hydrogen bonds mediate the characteristic L-shaped molecular structure. tRNAs have two regions of fundamental functional importance: the anti-codon, which is responsible for specific mRNA codon recognition, and the 3' end, to which the tRNAs corresponding amino acid is attached (by aminoacyl-tRNA synthetases). tRNAs cope with the degeneracy of the genetic code in two manners: having more than one tRNA (with a specific anti-codon) for a particular amino acid; and 'wobble' base-pairing, i.e. permitting non-standard base-pairing at the 3rd anti-codon position.
Source: RNAcentral